UAGCAAAGUCCAAUUACUCUUUCUCUUUAC
RNAcentral lists this non-coding RNA (30 nucleotides) under Mus musculus (house mouse). The record is from RNAcentral. Lineage: Eukaryota; Metazoa; Chordata; Mammalia; Rodentia; Muridae.